This 301-nucleotide ribosomal RNA is filed under the name uncultured bacterium. Its description in RNAcentral is "partial 16S ribosomal RNA". It matches the Rfam family "Bacterial small subunit ribosomal RNA", at positions 509 to 809 of the family's 1533-position model. The record is from RNAcentral.
CAGUAGCCGCGGUAAUACGAGGGGGGCAAGCGUUGUUCGGAAUUAUUGGGCGUAAAGGGUGCGUAGGCGGUUUGGCAAGUUUGGUGUGAAAUCUUCGGGCUCAACUCGAAGUCUGCAUCGAAAACUGCCGGGCUUGAGUAUGGGAGAGGUGAGUGGAAUUUCCGGUGUAGCGGUGAAAUGCGUAGAUAUCGGAAGGAACACCUGUGGCGAAAGCGGCUCACUGGACCAUAACUGACGCUGAUGCACGAAAGCUAGGGGAGCAAACAGGAUUAGAUACCCCAGUAGUCCCUGUCUCUUAUAA